Molecule: microRNA precursor, 76 nt
Filed under: Scleropages formosus (Asian bonytongue)
Lineage: Eukaryota; Metazoa; Chordata; Actinopteri; Osteoglossiformes; Osteoglossidae
Description: mir-16 microRNA precursor family
Rfam family: mir-16 microRNA precursor family
About the family: The hairpin precursors (represented here) are predicted based on base pairing and cross-species conservation -- their extents are not known. In this case the mature sequence is excised from the 5' arm of the hairpin.
Source: Rfam by way of RNAcentral
GCGGUGCGGUAGCAGCACGUAAAUACUGGAGCUGGGUUGUAGCGUGUCCAGUGUUGGUGUUCUGCUCCAGUAAAGC